GAUGAACGCUGGCGGCGUGCCUAAUACAUGCAAGUCGAGCGAACAGAUAAGGAGCUUGCUCCUUUGACGUUAGCGGCGGACGGGUGAGUAACACGUGGGUAACCUACCUAUAAGACUGGAAUAACUCCGGGAAACCGGGGCUAAUGCCGGAUAACAUUUAGAACCGCAUGGUUCUAAAGUGAAAGAUGGUUUUGCUAUCACUUAUAGAUGGACCCGCGCCGUAUUAGCUAGUUGGUAAGGUAACGGCUUACCAAGGCAACGAUACGUAGCCGACCUGAGAGGGUGAUCGGCCACACUGGAACUGAGACACGGUCAAGACUCCUACGGGAGGCAGCAGUAGGGAAUCUUCCGCAAUGGGCGAAAGCCUGACGGAGCAACGCCGCGUGAGUGAUGAAGGUCUUCGGAUCGUAAAACUCUGUUAUUAGGGAAGAACAAAUGUGUAAGUAACUGUGCACGUCUUGACGGUACCUAAUCAGAAAGCCACGGCUAACUACGUG
Molecule: ribosomal RNA, 497 nt
Filed under: uncultured bacterium
Lineage: Bacteria
Description: partial 16S ribosomal RNA
Rfam family: Bacterial small subunit ribosomal RNA
Source: RNAcentral